Molecule: transfer RNA, 79 nt
Filed under: Tolypocladium capitatum
Lineage: Eukaryota; Fungi; Ascomycota; Sordariomycetes; Hypocreales; Ophiocordycipitaceae
Also listed under: 1 other name
Description: Elaphocordyceps capitata tRNA
Rfam family: tRNA
About the family: Transfer RNA (tRNA) molecules are approximately 80 nucleotides in length.
Source: Rfam by way of RNAcentral
GGCCGUGUGGCUCAAUGGCAGAGCGUCUGGCUACGAUUAGUUAACCAGAAGGUUGCAGGUUCGACCCCUGUCUCGGUCA